RNAcentral lists this ribosomal RNA (1244 nucleotides) under metagenome. RNAcentral describes it as "bacterial LSU rRNA". It matches the Rfam family "Bacterial large subunit ribosomal RNA", at positions 1564 to 2815 of the family's 2925-position model. The record is from RNAcentral.
UGAGUACGAGACGCUACGGCGUUGAAGCAGUGUAUGUCAGACUUCCAAGAAAAGCUCGCAAUGUCAUAAACAAAUAAUGCCUGUACCAUAACCGACACAGGUGGGUAGGUAGAGUAUACUAAGGGGCGCGAGAUAACUCUCUCUAAGGAACUCGGCAAAAUGACUCCGUAACUUCGGGAGAAGGAGUGCCUUAUUUUUAUAAGGUUGCAAUAACAAGAUCCAAGCAACUGUUUACCAAAAACACAGGUCUCCGCUAAGUCGUAAGACGAUGUAUGGGGGCUGACGCCUGCCCAGUGCCAGAAGGUUAAAGAAGUUGGUUAGCAAUAGCGAAGCUGAUAACUGAAGCCCUGGUGAACGGCGGCCGUAACAAUAACGGUCCUAAGGUAGCGAAAUUCCUUGUCGGGUAAGUUCCGACCCGCACGAAAGGCGUAAUGAUUUGGAUGCUGUCUCGGAGAGGGGCUCGGUGAAAUAGACUUGUCUGUGAAGAUGCGGACUACCUGCACCAGGACAGAAAGACCCUAUGAAGCUUUACUGUAACUUGAAAUUGAAAUUGGACUUUACUUGCGCAGUAUAGGUGGGAGGCGUUGAUUUUAUUCUUGCGGGAAUUUAGGAGCCAUCAGUGAGAUACCACUCUGGUAAUGUUAGAUUUCUAACUUUGUAUCAUAAUCUGGUCAAAGAACAGUUUCAGGCGGGCAGUUUGACUGGGGCGGUCGCCUCCCAAACGGUAACGGAGGCGUACAAAGGUUUCCUCUGAACGUGUAGAAAUCGUAUCUAGAGUGUAAAGGCAUAAGGAAGCUUGACUGUGAGACCUACAAGUCGAGCAGGGACGAAAGUCGGUCUUAGUGAUCUGACGGUGCUGAGUGGAAAGGCCGUCACUCAACGGAUAAAAGUUACUCUAAGGAUAACAGGCUGAUCUCCCCCAAGAGUUCACAUCGACGGGGAGGUUUGGCACCUCGAUGUCGGCUCAUCGCAUCCUGGGGCGGUAGUACGUCCCAAGGGUUGGGCUGUUCGCCCAUGAAAGCGGUACGCGAGCUGGGUUCAGAACGUCGUGAGACAGUUCGGUCCAUAUCCGGUGUAGGCGUUAGAAUAUUGAGAGGAUCCUUCUUUAGUACGAGAGGACCGAGAAGGACAUACCUCUGGUGUACCAGUUAUCGUGCCAACGGUAAACGCUGGGUAGCUAUGUAUGGAAAGGAUAACCGCUGAAAGCAUCUAAGUGGGAAGCCUACCUCAAGAUAAGUAUUCUC